This 253-nucleotide non-coding RNA is filed under the name uncultured bacterium. Its description in RNAcentral is "partial 16S ribosomal RNA". It matches the Rfam family "Bacterial small subunit ribosomal RNA", at positions 524 to 776 of the family's 1533-position model. RNAcentral also lists the same sequence under 1 other name. The record is from RNAcentral.
GACGGAGGGUGCUAGCGUUGUUCGGAAUCACUGGGCGUAAAGGGCGCGUAGGCGGCGCCGCGAGUCGGAUGUGAAAGCCCGGGGCUCAACCUCGGAGGUGCAUCCGAUACUGCGGUGCUCGAGGUCGGAAGAGGAGGGUGGAAUACCCAGUGUAGAGGUGAAAUUCGUAGAUAUUGGGUGGAACACCGGUGGCGAAAGCGGCUCUCUGGUCCGGACCUGACGCUGAGGCGCGAAAGCGUGGGGAGCAAACAGG